RNAcentral lists this ribosomal RNA (1617 nucleotides) under Triticum aestivum (bread wheat). RNAcentral's name for it is "partial small subunit ribosomal RNA". Lineage: Eukaryota; Viridiplantae; Streptophyta; Magnoliopsida; Poales; Poaceae. The record is from RNAcentral.
AUGAACCUAGCCUCAAUUCCAUGGGGAUCCGUGAUCCGCGGCAUCCUAGGCCUUGUGCUUCUGUGGCAGGCCACCCGGCUGCUACACUGGUUGUGGUGGUGCCUGCGGCGGUUGGGGCGGGCGCUGCAUGCACAGGGGCUCAGAGGAACUCCGUAUCGCUUCCUCACCGGCGACAUUAUUAAGGCCAACCGACGAAACAGGGGGGCACGGUCAAAGCCCAUGUUGCUGGGUUGCCACGACAUUAGUCCUCAUGUCGCUUCGUUCCUCCAUGACGUCCUACGGAAGCAUGGCAAGAUGUGUGUGUCGUGGCUUGGCCCGACUCCGAAGGUAACCAUUGUAGACCCUAGCCUAGGCAAGGAGGUGAUGUCCAACAAGUUUGGCCAUUUCGAGAAGCUCAGGUUCCCGGCGCUGUCGAUGUUGCUUGCCAAAGGUGUGGCGGACUACGAGGGCGAGAAAUGGGCCAAGCAUAGGAGGAUCCUCAACCCCGCAUUUCAUCUCGAGAAGCUCAAGGUGCGUACGUUCAUUGUGAUUAAGUGUGGGCUAUGGCUAAAUCUCUCGCAACUCAUGCUACCUGCGUUUUCUGCGUGCUGUGAAGAGCUUGUUGGUAAAUGGAUGCGGUCCCUUGACCCUAACAAUUCAUGCGAGUUGGAUGUCUAUCCAGAACUUCAGAGCCUCACCGGAGAUGUCAUUUCUCGCACUGCAUUCGGGAGUAGCUACCUUGAAGGAAGGGAGAUUUUCCAGCUGCAAUCCGAGCAAGCCGAGCGCCUCUUGACCAACCUGAAGAAGAUUAUCAUACCUGGUUACACAUUCCUGCCUACAAGAAACAAUCGAAGGAUGCAUCAAACUAACAGAAAGAUUGAAUCCAUUUUGCGUAAUCUAAUUGAGAAGAGAAUGAAAGCAAUGCAAGAAGGAGAAAGCACCAAAGAUGACUUACUCGGUCUAAUUCUCCAUUCAAGCAUGACUGCCACAAAUGAAAAUAGUCAAUCCAUCCCCGGAAUGACAAUUGAAGAGGUCAUAGAGGAAUGCAAGCUAUUUUAUUUUGCAGGAUCGGAGACAACAUCAGUAUUACUCACAUGGACAAUGAUAGUACUAAGUAUGCACCCAGAGUGGCAAUACCGUGCAAGGAACGAGAUCCUUGGCAUAUUUGGGAAGAACAAACCUGAGUAUGAGGGCUUUGGUCGACUCAAAACGGUGACCAUGAUUCUAUAUGAGGUUCUUCGGCUAUACCCACCGGCCAUCACAUUCAUUCGAAAGACAUGCAAGGAUAUGAAGAUCGGAGGCAUCACAUACCCAGCCGCCAUCCUCAUCAACUACCCUGUGUUGUUCAUCCACCACGAUAUUGAAAUUUGGGGCAACGAUGCACUUGAGUUCAAUCCGGAGAGGUUCGCUGAGGGGAUCUCCAAGGCAUCCAAGGAUGUGGGUGCAUUCCUCCCAUUCGGUUGGGGGCCACGGGUCUGCAUCGGCCAGCAAUUUGCGCUUCUUGCGGCCAAGAUGGCAAUGUGUAUGAUUCUUCAACAUUUUGAGUUCAGCCUUGCACAGGCAUACACUCAUGCACCGCACGAUGUGACAUUUUUGCGUCCGAUGCAUGGUGCUCAAAUUAAGCUCUACGCGAUUUGA